This 1370-nucleotide long non-coding RNA is filed under the name Apteryx owenii (little spotted kiwi). RNAcentral's name for it is "lncRNA (ENSAOWG00000006006.1)". Lineage: Eukaryota; Metazoa; Chordata; Aves; Apterygiformes; Apterygidae. The record is from RNAcentral.
CAUGAAUCUGCAUAACAGCCUUUCAGGGGUGGUAUUGUUGUUUAAAGCACAAUCUGGGAAUUGUGAGAGGAGGCGGGGGAGAAAGGGAUGGAGAAGCAGACAGUGAAAACAGGGAAAACUAAGACUUAAUUGGAGAGUGACAAAUCGUAUGAAAUGAGAUUUUCUUGCCUCCUUGCACUGUGCCUAAGAAACAAGUUUUCACUUGAAAAUGCUGACUCCUUUUGCAAACUAAUAAUACUUCUAUUUUCUCUCUUGGCUAAUUGCUUAGAUCGCUAAGAGGGAACGGAAUAAAGUUACAAACACAGAUGUCUGGUCUUCUGAUUCUCGCUCAUCCAUGCGCUGCUGGAUGUUCCUGUCUCUUACGCAGAAUCAUCAGUUUCAUCCAGUUGCUGUCAGCAGGCUUCCAGCUGUGCCUCAGUGCAGAAGGAGCUGAAUCUUUCCAGGGAAAACCUGCGCUGACUCCCGUGGGGAUGAGUCUGAUCCGCGUUCAGUCGAGAACGCAGACUCCAGCACAACCUUUCUUGUCCUGUGCAUCCGCAGAGUCUCAAAUUGUCUUAGCUGUUGCACGGCCUGCCGCCUUCGUUCAGCUUUCAAUAGCACAGUAACCGCCACUUCAGGUGGCCAGAGCCUAAAACACUGGAAGUGCUUCAAGGAUGCAAAUCAUCACAUAGGCCUUAAUCGUCCAGAUUUUUUUUAGGACUCUUUCAGAGGCCUAAGUUACUUUCUUAAGUGGUAGUUAAGGUGAUGCUGUCAUAGGAGAUGCAUCAAGAAUGCAUAACAGGAAGAGGCUGAAGCUGUUAUUGCUGGGACUAUUAACAAUUUUUCAGUGGGAACUGGUAUAGAGCUGUGUAUCAAUAACUAUUUACAGAUUGACACCUGGGUACAAAUUCUAUCCUUUAAAUGUUUCAGUCAAAGCAUCAGCACUGGUCUUAACCACUCCAGGGCAGAGGCCCUAAGGUUUACCAGCAGGGCUUUUAAUUACCUUGAUCUAUUUUCAGUAGAUGAUAGGCAACUGAAGUGCACAACGUUUUCAUUCUCUCCUGGCCUUUUUUAACAGUAUUGUGUAGUUGGAGCUGGUGGAAAAGAUUCAAUUGCAAAAAGAAAAUGUGAAAAUACAUUGUUGUUUUUUUUAAUUCCAAACUUAAAUUUAAUGAAAAUGCAGUUAUCGCUUUCUUUAUUUAUUUCAAAUAGCUCUUUCAUGUGUUGGGACAAAGGAGCAUUGUAUUAAUUGUAAAGUGUGAAAUGUUUUUCUUGUUUGCUUGCAACAACAACUGGGAAUACAUGGAUUUGCCUAUUCAUGCUUUAUUGUUAUGACAACAUUUUUUCACAAAGUAUUUGAAAGCCAGAGCUACUAAAGGAAUAAAGUUGGC